Molecule: transfer RNA, 64 nt
Filed under: Cyrtonotula maculosa
Lineage: Eukaryota; Metazoa; Arthropoda; Insecta; Blattodea; Blaberidae
Description: tRNA-Tyr
Source: RNAcentral
AGUAGGAUGACUGAGAUAUAGGUGAAGGAUUGUAAAUCUUUUAAGGAGUUAAACUCUUCUACUA